This is a small nucleolar RNA of Plutella xylostella (diamondback moth), 72 nucleotides long. The record is from RefSeq and is a predicted model, not a curated record. Lineage: Eukaryota; Metazoa; Arthropoda; Insecta; Lepidoptera; Plutellidae.
CCAAAAUGAUGUUAACAUUGUCUGAACUACCAUGUGGCAUACAAAUAUACGAGCUUUUUAACACUGAUUGGA